RNAcentral lists this ribosomal RNA (284 nucleotides) under Mesodinium rubrum. Its description in RNAcentral is "partial Bacterial large subunit ribosomal RNA". It matches the Rfam family "Bacterial large subunit ribosomal RNA", at positions 176 to 515 of the family's 2925-position model. Lineage: Eukaryota; Ciliophora; Litostomatea; Cyclotrichida; Mesodiniidae. The record is from RNAcentral.
GAAGCAAACGAGGGGAACUGAAACAUCUAAGUACCCGGAGGAAAGGAAAUCAACAGAUACUCCCCUAGUAGCGGCGAGCGAACGGGGACCAGCCGAGCCAUGAAUGUGAUUAGAAUGUGUUGGAAAGCACAACCAGAGUGGGUGACAGUCCCGUAUAAGAAGCAUGAUUGGACGUAUUAAGUAGGGCGGAACACGUGAAAUUCUGUCUGAACAUCGGAGGACCACCUUCGAAGGCUAAGUACUCCUUACUGACCGAUAGCGAACCAGUACCGUGAGGGAAAGGU